This 701-nucleotide long non-coding RNA is filed under the name Corvus moneduloides (New Caledonian crow). RNAcentral's name for it is "lncRNA (ENSCMUG00000018080.1)". The record is from RNAcentral. Lineage: Eukaryota; Metazoa; Chordata; Aves; Passeriformes; Corvidae.
CAGUUUCCAAUAGAAGUUACAACCAUCCUAAUACAAAUCAUCUUUUAAAACCUUCAGAGCUCUUCUGGCAACUGCAAGUCAGUUGGAGACCAGAACACAUUUCUCCCUUGUCCACGUUCCUGCAGUGGAUCCUUUCUGGGCUGCAGCAGCUGUUGCAGGGGAUUUUUUUCCCCCUGGAAAAUUCAAAUAUGGGAAUUUUGAUCAUCAGAAAGGCAGAAAUGUCAGUAAGAAAGUGGCAGAGCUCUACAGCCUUGGUCUGGUUUUGCUGUUCAGGGUUUAUUGUUCGGCUGAGAAAGCCUUGAAGAUUCCCAAACCAGUGACAUGAAAACCAAGCUGGUGUAAAUUACCACGGCUCAAUGCAGCUGAGCAGAUUUACAUCAUUUGAAGACGCAGUCCUUGGCAUGUUGGAGCAGCCUGCUUUUCGAGAACCUGGCAGUUAGUGUGCCAUGGAUAGCAUUUACAGCACCUCUCACCCUGCAAAUCCAGUGCUGGCCUGCUGUGAUCAGGUAAUUUUGGGAAAGAAGGGCUAGCACCCUUGCUUUGUGAGGUGGUUUGCAUCCUGUUCUCUGUGUUGCUUUGCUUGGCUCAUGUGAAACAGUGGAGCAAGGGUGAUUUUUGGGGGGUCUGUACACCCCACAGCCCUCGUGGCACAGGUUGGGAGGGCUCCCUGUGCUGCCCUUGUGCUUGCUGCUCCUCACCCC